Molecule: ribosomal RNA, 1683 nt
Filed under: Conocara sp. ASIZP P0913760
Lineage: Eukaryota; Metazoa; Chordata; Actinopteri; Alepocephaliformes; Alepocephalidae
Description: 16S rRNA
Rfam family: Bacterial large subunit ribosomal RNA
Source: RNAcentral
GCUCAACAACUAGCUUAAACUACCCGGAAUAAAUUAACAACAUAAUUAACCCAACAAAAACCAAAAAUAAUAAACAAAUCAUUUUUCCACCCUAGUAUGGGAGACAGAAAAGGAACCACAAAGCAAUAGAGAAAGUACCGCAAGGGAAAGUUGAAAGAGAAAUGAAACAACCCAUUUAAGCCCUAAAAAGCAGAGAUUAACCCUCGUACCUUUUGCAUCAUGAUUUAGCCAGCACUAUCCGAGCAAAGAGAACUUUAGUUCGAGACCCCGAAACCGAGUGAGCUACUCCGAGACAGCCUAUUAUAGGGCCAACCCGUCUCUGUGGCAAAAGAGUGGGAAGAGCUCCGAGUAGAGGUGACAAACCUACCGAACCCGGUUAUAGCUGGUUGCCUAAGAAGUGGAUAUAAGUUCAGCCCCUUACUCCUCAGGUCACAACUAGUAGUACACGAACGCUAGACCCAGAGAAAAUAAAGGGAGUUAGUCAGAGGAGGUACAGCUCCUCUGAACCAGGACACAACCUUACCAGGAGGUAAAGGAUCAUAUUUAACAAGGCCAACCGUUUCAGUGGGCCUAAAAGCAGCCAUCUGCACAGAAAGCGUUAAAGCUCAGACGGACCAAAGACCCCUUAUUCUGAUAACCAACCCCAACCCCCUAACAGUACUAGGCCGCCCUAUGCCACCAUAGGAGAGACAAUGCUAAAAUGAGUAAUAAGAAGGACACCCUUCUCCCUAGCACAUGUGUAAGUUAGCCCGGAUCUUCCACUAACAAAUAACGAACUCAACCAAAGAGAGUACUGCGAAUUUAAAUAUAACCUAGAAAACCCCGCACACCCAUAUCGUUACCCCAACACAGGAGUGCCCACAAAAGGAAAGACCCAAAAGAAAAGAAGGAACUCGGCAAACACAAGCCUCGCCUGUUUACCAAAAACAUCGCCUCCUGUAAAUCAGAACAUAGGAGGUCCCGCCUGCCCUGUGACUAUAAGUUUAACGGCCGCGGUAUUUUGACCGUGCGAAGGUAGCGCAAUCACUUGUCUUUUAAAUAAGGACCUGUAUGAAUGGCAUCACGAGGGCUUAGCUGUCUCCUUUUCUAAGUCAAUGAAAUUGAUCUACCCGUGCAGAAGCGGGUAUACUCCUACAAGACGAGAAGACCCUGUGGAGCUUAAGACACAAGGCCAGCUACGUUAAACAACCAAACUCAAAUGGUAUAAACAAAGUACAAAUAUGUCCAACAUGUCUUCGGUUGGGGCGACCGCGGGGGAAAAAUAAGCCCCCACGUGGACCGGGAUUAUUCCUAAAGCCAAGAGGUACACCUCUAAGCCUCAGAACAUCUGACCAUAAAUGAUCCGGCUAAAACCGAUCAACGAACCAAGUUACCCCAGGGAUAACAGCGCAAUCCUCUCCCAGAGUCCUUAUCGACGAGAGGGUUUACGACCUCGAUGUUGGAUCAGGACAUCCUAAUGGUGCAGUCGCUAUUAAGGGUUCGUUUGUUCAACGAUUAAAGUCCUACGUGAUCUGAGUUCAGACCGGAGUAAUCCAGGUCAGUUUCUAUCUGUAACGCUACUUCUCCUAGUACGAAAGGACCGGAGAAGAGGGGCCCAUGCUUCAGGUAUGCCCCACCCCGACCUGAUGAAAACAACUAAAACAGACAAGGGGGCGCAAUCCCUUCAGCCCUAGAUAAGGGCAU